CAGAAUUUCUUCUUUGUUCAUUUCUCUGCAGGUUUGUACCCAUCCUGAAGACUAUCAAGGCUAUGACAAGGUUCUUGGCCUCUGUGUUUGUCGAGCAGACAAUCUGAACAGUGUGUGUAACUCUCAGUGUAGAAGACAACAAAGAGACAUUCUGCAGUUUGUCUGUAAAGGGAAAAAUGCUCAGCUUUCUCUCACUUACAGAAAUGAGAGCCAGAUUGCCAUUUUCUUGGAACAAUUAAAGGCAGUUCUACAAGUGCUGCAUUCCCCUGCUAAGAACCCCUGCCCUACCGAGCACAGCACCUCUUCCUAUCCUGUAUACAUGGUGAAAACAAGCGGAAAAGGGUUUUUGGGUGUGUACAAUCCUGAUCCUGAACUGCUGUACAAUCUCAUUGUGCCAAACAAAAUUUCAUCUCCUGACAACAGUGUACCAUUGUCAGCAGCAGCUCCAGGUGAGGCUAUGCAGCAAGGCUGCAAAAAGUAGUCUCUGUAAGAUUUGCCUUUGGUUACUGUCAUAAACAGAUAGCUAAGGGUUAAUGUCUCUUACACCUGGAAAGAGGUAACCUGAAGCACCUGACCAGAGGACCAAUCAGGAAACCAGACUUUUUCAGGUCUGGGUGGAGGGAAGUUUGUGUCUGAGUUCUUUGUC
This 646-nucleotide long non-coding RNA is filed under the name Gopherus agassizii (Agassiz's desert tortoise). Its description in RNAcentral is "lncRNA (ENSGAGG00000009588.1)". Lineage: Eukaryota; Metazoa; Chordata; Testudines; Testudinidae. The record is from RNAcentral.